This 26-nucleotide non-coding RNA is filed under the name Mus musculus (house mouse). Lineage: Eukaryota; Metazoa; Chordata; Mammalia; Rodentia; Muridae. The record is from RNAcentral.
GGCCCCGACGACCGGAUUUCGGUGGA